Molecule: RNA transcript, 4585 nt
Organism: Cercocebus atys (sooty mangabey)
Lineage: Eukaryota; Metazoa; Chordata; Mammalia; Primates; Cercopithecidae
Gene name: centromere protein V pseudogene
Exons: 5
Source: RefSeq, a predicted model, not a curated record
AUGGGGGUAGCGGGCUGGGCACGCGCUCGGGAGUCUGCGGGCGCCAUGGGCAGAGUGAGGAACCGGGCCACUGCUCAGCGGCGGAGGCGAAAGCGGCCCGGGGAUCCCCCCGCCGGCUGCGCGGCCAUCGCGGUCAUGGGCGCCAGCCGCGCGCAGUGCCCCCGGGUCCAAGUCGGGGUCGGGAGCCACGCGGCGGCCAAGAGGUGGCUGGGAAGGUUGCGGCGGAAGCGCCGGUGGCGGCGGGUCCGGGAGGCGGGCCCCAGAAACCCGCUGCCCUCCACGCCACUCCCGGACCCUCCGGCGCCCGCCGAGUCCCCUGAGGAGCUGGACCUGGGCGCACAGCGGGAGCGCUGGGAGACGUUCAGGAAGCUGUGGGGCCUCAGCUGCGAGGGCGCCGCCAAGGUCCUGCUGGACACCUUCGAGUACCCGGGCCUCGUGCAUCACACCGGGGGCUGCCACUGCGGCGCGGUCCGCUUUGCGGUCUGGGCCCCGGCAGAUCUGCGCGUGGUGGAUUGCAGCUGCAGGCUGUGCAGGAAGAAGCAGCACCGCCACUUCCUCGUCCCGGCCUCGCGCUUCACGCUGCUCCAGGGCGCGGACAGCAUCGUCACCUAUCGGUCCGACACGCACCCGGCGCUGCACAGCUUCUGCAGCAGGUGCGGGGUGCAGAGUUUCCACGCAGCUGUCUCUGGUCCCCGCGUGUACGGCGUCGCCCCGCACUGCCUGGACGAGGGCACCGUGCGCAGCGUGGUCAUCGAGGAGGUCGGCGGUGGCUACCCGGGGGAGGAGGCCGCCGAGGAGCCCAAGGCCAUCCACAAGACGUCCUCCCAGUCAGCCCCUGCGUGUCCCCGCGAACAGGAGCAGUGAUUGGGGCCGCAAGCCCGCCCGAAACGGGCCCGGGCGGCCCUGCGGGGAGCGUCCGAGUACCUGCACAGAUCACAUGCUGUGAAAGAGAUGUUUCUGGCCUGGUCAAACCGUGGAUUCCCUUCCAGUAUUUACCCUUCCUCUCCACUAGUUUUCGGUGAACUCGCUUACGAUCCAAAUCUUGAGCACACCUUUGUCAGUGUACGACGAUAGUCUUGGAAUCCCGUAAGCAAGAAUAGUGUCUCUGCUUUUUCAAGUCAUCCAUUUUAUCUCUCGCUUUUACAGUUCUGCCUACAGUUGUCACAAAUCACCUGCAGAUGAUUCCUGUGUACUAUACGUUCCUGGUGCUAUUGUGAACAGGCUUGUUGUUUUCAGUGCUUUGCGUCUGGUGUGUAGGACGGCAACACACAAACAGUUUGUAAACGUGCUAGGAUGUCUUCCAUUCAUUAUCGUGUGUGUGCGACGUGUGCGUUUUAGAGAGGCAUUCACAUUUGCACUACUUAGUCCAGUUAUUUAGUGUUUUUUAUAUGAUAUGUUUUAAGCUUCAUUAGUAUUACAUACCUCAUUGCUCUUAUUAGACGAAUGAUGUUAGUGUUUUCCUCCGUUUUGUUUUAGAAACUGUCUCUGGGAAAGGAGAUGGGAGACAGGAAUGAGAAACGUCUGUGUGCUGUAUGCCCUCUUUAAUCUUUCUAAAUACCUAUCUUAUACAUGUGAGCAGUUCUUUGACUUCACGGCAAAAGAACGUUAAAGAGCCCUUGGAGUCAUUUCUCAUCUUCCUGGCAACCCCAAAAGGUGGAUUUUAUUAUCUCUAAUUUACACAAGAGUAAAUAAGCUCAGAGGAGUGCAAGAUCAUGUUCAGAGUCACAAAACGACUUCAUGGAAUUUAUGAUCUCAACACUAUCAGCCAACUUCUCAUCCCUGAGACCUCUCCCCAGAUCCCGUGGCAAAAUGCUCAGGACACCCAAUGGGAUGAGGGUAUGGCAUUUUUUUUCUUCCUGAAAUGCAGUUAGAAUUUCUGUCUUUUAGGGGUGGGGAAAUUUGUUUGUAUGCUUUCUGAGAGAGAAAAAAUUCAUUGUUUACAAUAUCCUGCUGUCAGCCAAAGAUUGUAUUCUGAGGGGGGUCCUUUAUUGCAGAAAUGGUUUCUGGUUGAAAGAAUGCAAAUCGCAAGCUUAGAUUCUGCUUCUGUAAAAACAGAUGACAGAAGGGGAGGACAGAAGGAUGGCUUCUAUUCUUGGGGAAACAAGAAGUCUGAUAAUGGAUGAAAGAUUUAAACAGUGAGAAAAAAACUGGGCAAUUGCCAACAGGAUAGGAAAUCUGAGGGAAAGAUCAGAGAUCUUGAAAGGAAAUGUUGUGGUGAUUUUCCGUGGAGUGUGUAAUAUCAACGCUCUUCCCCAAUCACCACAAAAAGAUCUUGAUGUGGCUGUGAUAUACUACAUGUUUACUGAAAAAUAAAUUAAAAUUUUAAUGUCCAAGUAGCACUAAAAUUAUUAUGAAUAUCACCAGUUUUCUGUGUUCCACCCUUUUGGAAGCUCUUACUUUCAGAAAAGAGAAAAGACUUUGAAGUUAGACCUGGACUGGACAGUUUCAUUUCAAGGUGGGCAGAACAGGUAAAAGUCAUAAGUAUCAUUCAGGCUUACAUAGAUAUAUUUGAUGGUGUGAACCCAGGGAUCAAUGGAAUUGUCAAGUACAGGUAAGCACUCUUGUAUUUACAAGAGAUAGUCCUGCUGGUUUUCCUCCAACUUCUGUAGCCACAUCUUCUCUAUUUCGCUUCUCUCCUGUUUCUCUAUGUCCCUUCUUUGCGCUCCCCUGUUUCUGUACAUAGGAUAAAGACCAUAUUUCCUUGGUAUUUACAGAUCUGGCAUAUAGGUCAUUAGUUGAAACCUAAUAGGCAUACUGACUAUUUGUUGAAUUAAUUAAUUAACCUUAGUAGUGACACUGAUAGGAAAACAAGCUCCCUAACGCAGUCUGGAAUGAGAAAAACAAGUGCCACAACUAUUAGUACCAAUGUGUAGCUUUGUGUAUCAGGUACCAAAUCAACUAUUGUGGUGAGUUAUGAGGUACUGAGCAAGAAGAACUUUGACUCCUUUUACUGAGACAUUGCACAUGGUAACUGUCACAGUGAAUCAAAGUUGCUUUUCCCAGAUCUUGGUCAUUCAUGUAUCAUCUUCAGGAUUUUUAACAUAUCCAAAUACCACCUGAAGAAUCAUUUGAUUAAUAUUUCCAUUGAAACCAUAUAAACUUCAAAUUUAAAUACAGUUUAAAAGAAGCCCCACAUCAUGAUCAAGAAUGGAAAACUAAUGUUUCAUGUCAUAGAAUAUAACUAAAAAUAAACACAAUGAAAAACAAAUAGUUGUAAAAUUCUUAAAAAUCUGAAAAAUAGCAGAGGUGCUAUAGCUGAUUACCACUAUAUGAUAAAACUAAUAUGUCUCCUUUCGAGAUAUGGGAAAGAAAUUGUUUUCUUUUCCUGCUGCAUUCUAAGGAAGACCCCUGUAUUUUAGUGCUGGCUUUUGGUAUUACAGUGUCCACAGAAGGGGUUCAGAGACAGCAAAAUUUCCAUGUCUGAGGAAAUGGGUGGGGGAGGGGCUGUAGAGGCAAUAUAAAGUAUUAGUAAUUAACCAAAAAUAAACAGAACCUCCUCUGUUCUGCCUAAAAAUAGUGCAAUUGCAGAUUUCCAAACUCACCCUCCAGGAGCAGUGAAAUCCUGCAUUUUCUCUGAAUGCCAAGAGUUUGUAAGUGGACAUAAAUAAACUAUCGCUGCUACAGCUUGGGUUCAAUCAAUCCAAUUGCAAUGAGGCCCUAGGUUUAACACUACUCUUACUGCUCUUCCUGGACAGGAAUCUUGGGCACCCAAGCAUACCUGCCAUGCUUCAAGAAGAGCCAUUCACAUCAGUAUGGGGGGAGCCACUGGGGUUCUAGUCCAGUCACAGGUCAGGAUGCGAUGAUACAGCUCAUGGAAGAAGGAUCGUUGUCCUUUCUAUCUUAUCCCUUUUGACCACACAACUAAGUCCUGGACCUAUUUUAUAUUGAUGUACUUUGUGCUAUGAGGACUUAAAACAGGCUGUAAAGGAUUCACUUCUAUUCCCACUGGACAAUGGCUGAUGAUAUCAGCAGUGAAGUUGUGACCUCCAGUGGGUAUUGGAAGAAACUGUACCAUUCUGGAUAGGUUAUUUGGGAAGCCCGUGUCUUGGCUGACUUCUCUUCAACGUGUCUGGGUUUCCUGAAGUCAGAAGAUUUCUGUCUGUAGGAGUUCCAGGAAAUGAGCCCUCUGACAUCAGAAGACUCUUUGGUUAGAAUGUUUUCUUUGCAAUAAGACUUCCAGGCAUCAAUUCUAGGCACAACUGCUUCCAGUAUAAAAAGAAGGUUGCCUAAAACAAAGAAGAAAUAAACUUUCAUAACUCCUUUGCUCAUCUCCCAAAACAAGUCUACCUCUCAUCAAGUUCUGGGAAAAGUCCUGGAUGGUGCAUUCUGUGGAGGAUAUAAUAACACUGUGGUGUGUCAACUUGGGUAGGCAAAAUUAUAUACCCCAGAAUUAACUUUCUAUAAUGUUUCUUGAUAAGUGGGCUGCUAGAGAUAAUCUCUUGUGUGAAUUAGAUGAUGGAAGGGAAGUAGCAGCCAUUCUAUGGCAUACACACUACUCCCGGUUAUUUAAGCAUGAAUAUAGCUUCUGCUGCAAAGGUAUUUUCCAGAUGUACUAGAAUACCCUAAUCAGUUGACUUUGAGUUAG